Molecule: ribosomal RNA, 497 nt
Filed under: uncultured bacterium
Lineage: Bacteria
Description: partial 16S ribosomal RNA
Rfam family: Bacterial small subunit ribosomal RNA
Source: RNAcentral
GAUGAACGCUGGCGGCGUGCCUAAUACAUGCAAGUCGAGCGAACAGACGAGGAGCUUGCUCCUCUGACGUUAGCGGCGGACGGGUGAGUAACACGUGGAUAACCUACCUAUAAGACUGGGAUAACUUCGGGAAACCGGAGCUAAUACCGGAUAAUAUAUUGAACCGCAUGGUUCAAUAGUGAAAGACGGUUUUGCUGUCACUUAUAGAUGGAUCCGCGCCGCAUUAGCUAGUUGGUAAGGUAACGGCUUACCAAGGCAACGAUGCGUAGCCGACCUGAGAGGGGGAUCGGCCACACGGGAACUGAGACACGGUCCAGACUCCUACGGGAGGCAGCAGUAGGGAAUCGUCCGCAGUGGGCGAAAGCUUGACGGAGCAACGCCGCGUGAGUGAUGAAGGUCUUCGGAUCGGAAAACUCUGUUAUUAGGGAAGAACAAAUGUGUAAGUAACUAUGCACGUCUUGACGGUACCUAAUCAGAAAGCCACGGCUAACUACGUG